Molecule: long non-coding RNA, 2878 nt
Organism: Bombyx mori (domestic silkworm)
Lineage: Eukaryota; Metazoa; Arthropoda; Insecta; Lepidoptera; Bombycidae
Exons: 4
Source: RefSeq, a predicted model, not a curated record
UUAACAAAUUAAAGAAGGGAUGGUUAGCCUCGUUUGGACAUGUGAUGCGUAAAGUGAAGAUGCAUGUGACUAGGAGAUGUAUGGAAAUGGUAGUGUAAGGUCGACCGAAGAAGACAUGGAUGGAGUGUGUGAAUGACGAUAUGAGAGAGAGAGGAGUGAGUGUUGAGAUGACGGCUGAUAGAAGAGAAUGGAAUAGAAAAAUUCGCUGUGCUGACUUCACCUAGUGAAGAAAAAGAAGAAGAGACUUAGCACGAUUCAAGUUCUUUCCUUUCUAAUUAUUUAUUUCUAUUCGUCGACAGCUACAUAGCCCAAGGACUACACUUACUUCAGCUGGAAUAUGAAAAAAUACGAAAUUAUACUAACAAAGCAAUUGAAUAAAGAUCGCAUUUUCAUCAUCAUAAUGACAUUAUGUCUGACACAAUAAAUGUUUGGUCAAGUGCUACGUAGUCCCCGGCCGCACGGCCCCGCGCCGCGCCGCCUUCACUAACUGUGUUUUACCUUAUACACGAUUUAACUUUAAAUACGUUUUUUUUAAAUCGGUCCGUAAAUCUUAAGUGUGGAAGUAUAAAGAAAUACCUGUAUUUUGAACGUAAAAAGAGUUUUUUUGGACCCGAGUCGAAUUUCCUAUAAAGCACCUGCGCCAUCGGGAUAGGUGGGUUAUAUGGGAAUCUCUUCUCGCCCAAACAGGGAUCACCGCCGUUGGAAGAAGUUCACUUGAUAUAAGGGACUCACUAAACGACACCCCAGGGCUAUGUGCAUUAACGACUUGGAGUGGACUCACAAGAAAUCCUACCACCAGGAGCAGCGCAUAAUGUGUAGCAGUGCUGACUCCCGCCGCCGCGCCGGCCGGGCCUGCAUAAUGUGCCGGCGAGCGCCAUCGCGUCAUCACGCGGACCAAAGUUGCUUACUGUGCCAUACUAGCGAAUAAUAUCGCUCUUCAAAUGACAUUGAUGUGCCGCUGUGUGACGAGGGCGGGUCCCACCUGUGGCUGCGGGCGGCGACCUGUGGCGCGCCCUGCCCGGGACCAGCUGCCGCGCCGGUACUGCCGACAUCACCUUCCGACCAGAUGUACCACGCCACUGUGUUCAGCUGCUCGUGGAGCCCAUAGACCAUGCAACUUACCGACACGAGACCGAACUAUCCAUUACAUCACAUUCCAAUCACGAGUUGCUGACGGGUGCUGCAUCACCGGCGCCGUUACACCAUCAGCUGAUAUCAUCGUGUUCUAUUUGAAUUGACAAUAAAAGCAUUGGCAGGGUUACAUCAAAAAACUUAACUCUGCAUAUUGUUUUUUAAAAGCACUACAAAUCCCCAAAGUUUUUGUACAUAAAUUACACAAUAAAUAUUGGGAAGUUCCGAAGCUCGAUCGGGGCUGGAAACAUGGAAAUUAAUAAAGAUUAAAGGUCAUCAUUUGAACGAAAUGCGUUUUGCCGGUCGUCCCCUCGAGGGCGCGCCGCCGCACGCGACCGCCGCGCCGCGCCCUCUAUAAACACGCGCUAAUCAUGCUAAUACUACCCCUCCACUCUACUUUGUAUUUCCUCGCAGACUAAUAAACUACCUUUGUAUUUUGAAUUUUCUUCGUUUAAUAAGUUGACUGGAAUGGAAAUAAUUAACUGUGACUUAGACAGGUCUCGACAGGUCGAACAUUUUGACGCAAUUGUUUGUAUGACAGAUGAAGAAACGAUCCUGCACCCCGACCGAUGGUAAGCGCUCACUACAACGUGAAAAGUAACAUUUGGAGUGGUGGUAGCGCGGACUGUACGCCGGCACCCCGCACCUCGCACCGCCGACCUACCUCUAGCUACUGCGAAACAUUCGGCACAGCUUCUCAUGGGCUUAGGUUUCCACUUCAAUUUGCUCUAUAACAUACAUUCUUAAUAUGAUUGCUCACACUGGACGAAGCGCUGGCGGCUUCAAGAAUCAUUGCCCACGUUAUUAACAAUGUUACAACUACAUAGCUAACAGGCUGCCAACCGUGAACCGUUGCGCACGAAAUAAGUUAACCCGCGGUUACGCUGACAAACAAUGUUCGACUUCAUGCUAUUAGCAACGUUUACGGGCGCGUGUGUGUACUCCUAGGUAUGUAUGUGUGCAGCAGUACGUACACUCCUUACACGAAACUUGACCCGCUCACCCAUUAAUAUUAAUACGCGUCGAGGGCGAGCACGUGUCGAGGGUCGUCCGCCGCACCGCCGCACCGAUCGACCUGCAGCGGAGGAGCCGGCGGGCGCGGGGGCGCGGGGGCGCGGGGCCGCUGUAUCCGAGCACUCGUGGCCUCGCCCGGGUUAUCACUCCGCGACCUCUUAUCGCACUCGCACACACACACCAGCGCAGCCCGCACUGCUGGCCGACCGUACCCACGAAAUGGGUCGCGUAUGUCGACACGUAAUUAGAACAAGAAACUGUUUAUUGUCAAGUGAGGGAACGUUGUCACAUUUUAUAUUAAUUGUAAGUAAAUGAGGAGGACGUAUCAGUGGACGCGCGGACGAGCAAUCAGCGGCGUGUGACCCGCGCUACAGAUAUCGGCUGACCCACACUUGUUGCACACACGCUCAUCUGCACUUUACUGUAAUUAUAUUUCACUACGACGAAGCUGAUCCCGUUGGAACUUUCCACUGAUUCUGUAUCCGACUCAUCAUCCGCUUGAAGCUGUAUGGCCGCCGUACUUCUGUUUCCGAUUACCACGAGCAACAGUAUACCUAAGCAGAAUAAGCGGUAUAGUACAAGGAUAAUCUAUUCUAACCCAAUUUCACUUGGUUAGCUAAUACAUUCAAUUAAAUGAAUUUAUCAAAUUAAGGAGUGUAGUAAAUAGCUACAGAAACUGAAAACCAAUAAUCACCUAAUAUCCUUGUUUAAUUAAAUAAAACAAGAACUUAAA